Molecule: transfer RNA, 72 nt
Filed under: Karlodinium veneficum
Lineage: Eukaryota; Dinophyceae; Gymnodiniales; Kareniaceae
Description: tRNA-Phe
Rfam family: tRNA
About the family: Transfer RNA (tRNA) molecules are approximately 80 nucleotides in length. Their secondary structure includes four short double-helical elements and three loops (D, anti-codon, and T loops). Further hydrogen bonds mediate the characteristic L-shaped molecular structure. tRNAs have two regions of fundamental functional importance: the anti-codon, which is responsible for specific mRNA codon recognition, and the 3' end, to which the tRNAs corresponding amino acid is attached (by aminoacyl-tRNA synthetases). tRNAs cope with the degeneracy of the genetic code in two manners: having more than one tRNA (with a specific anti-codon) for a particular amino acid; and 'wobble' base-pairing, i.e. permitting non-standard base-pairing at the 3rd anti-codon position.
Source: RNAcentral
GCCCAGAUAGCUCAGCGGUAGAGCAGUGGAUUGAAAAUCCUCGUGACUCCAGUUCAAUUCUGGAUCCGGGCU